GGCCGCACUCGCCGGUCCCAAGCCCGGAUAAAAUGGGAGGGGGCGGGAAACCGCCUAACCAUGCCGAGUGCGGCCGCUUGCCAUGUGUAUGUGGGACGCGUUGCCACGUUUCCCACAUACUCUGAUGAUCCGCUAGCAAAGGCUCGUUGAGCUCAUUAGCUCCGAGCCCGAGGUACCGGAUCAUUCAUGGCAAGCGGCCGCGGUCGGCGUGGACUGUAGAACACUGCCAAUGCCGGUCCCAAGCCCGGAUAAAAGUGGAGGGUACAGUCCACGC
Molecule: unclassified non-coding RNA, 274 nt
Filed under: Cloning vector pAV-U6+27-Tornado-F30-Pepper-TAR Variant-2
Source: RNAcentral